This 326-nucleotide unclassified non-coding RNA is filed under the name Clavispora sp. CLIB 1715. Its description in RNAcentral is "sequence contains ITS1, 5.8S rRNA gene and ITS2". The stretch from base 67 to 216 matches the Rfam family "5.8S ribosomal RNA". Lineage: Eukaryota; Fungi; Ascomycota; Pichiomycetes; Serinales; Metschnikowiaceae. The record is from RNAcentral.
CUGGAUAAGAUGCCAACACAACAAAAUUUUUUUUUUAAAUUCAGUUCGAAUAUUCAUAAAAAUCAAAACUUUCAACAACGGAUCUCUUGGUUCUCGCAUCGAUGAAGAACGCAGCGAAAUGCGAUACGUAGUAUGACUUGCAGACGUGAAUCAUCGAAUCUUUGAACGCACAUUGCGCCUCGAGGUAUUCCUCGAGGCAUGCCUGUUUGAGCGUCGGCCCCCCCCUCUAACCCCCCCGGGUUAGGUGUUGUGGUGACACACGAAAUAGCAAGCGCAAUCAAUCACACGUUUUUGAUGACGCCCAACCAUUUUCGCCCUCAAAUCAG